CGCGAGACGGAUUAAAGUUACAAUGACAGAAAUUUCCUUUAAAUGCCAAACCUUUGAAAAUUAUUAAAUAAUCAUUAAUACAGUUUUAAUAACCACAAAACUUUACGUUUAAAGAUUAAGUUUAGCGCAGUAAAUAGACACUCGCAAACAAAACCAUAGCAACAGCAGGCUGCUCGAGCGCUUUCAGUGAGGAUCUGUAACGGACGAAAUGUAAGUAACGUUAACUUUACUAUCAUUAUUGAUGUAGCAUAUUUCUGUAUCGCAAGUAUAUCACAAAACAAGUGUUUGUUUAUCAAAAGACGGGCACUACGGUUGGACAAGUCUCGAGACUGAAACCCCCUUGAAAGUCACCGAAUGACUUAGAAAGGUAACGUUAGCGCAGUGGUUUCAUCUUUAGCUAACAUUUGUAAGUUAGAUUAAAAUAUGAAAAAUAUAAAUAAUCAUAUCCAUCGACUGUGCUGUAAACUGUCUAAACCAUUGUGAAGUUAAAUUAAACUUGUGUUCAGAGUCCUUCUCCUGUGACUGGGAUAUCAUCUGAUCUGUACUUCAGGUGGAUGAGUUACUGUUACCUGCGCGCAGGUGCGCUCCGUCCUCCUGGUACAUCAUCCUCCUCUGACUACAGAAGAUGGAUGUUUAUCCUUCACUACUCCGGGACAAAUCACUUUAGUUUGUUAAUCGUACCUCAGAGAUUUUAACUUGAUUAAUCCUAUGAUAAUCUGAAGGAGAAUUCCAAUCGAUCCUCCUAAAAUGAAAUGUAAUGUAAUUUCUUGAUCGUUGAAGGACACCCGUCGCUCUGAGAUGAACGAACAGCGGGACAUACAACUGUUUUCACUCUGUACACUUUUCAUUUUCAAGCUAUUUGUGCUUCAAGGAUUUAUUUGCCAGGAAUCAAACUCAGAAAAUAAACUACCCAGGUAUGUGGUUGAAUCCAACUUCUUGUUCUGAUGCUGUUGACAUUGUGAUGCUGAUGGCUAGGUGUAUGAUCAUAAUGCUUUUAGAUUUUUAAACAUGUUGAGCACAGAUUGCAGGUUGAUUGUACCUUUAAAACUGGUGAACCCUAUCAAACAUCCGCUAUUACAAGGAGGUUUUGAGCAAAGAGACAGUGUCAAGUUCUACAUGCAGUCACUGAUAAGAUGUUAAGUGUUUGGUCUAAUGUUUUGUGGUAACCAUUAAACCAGUUCCUUGAGAAUCAUGCGGUCCAUCAGCGUGACUGUGUCUGUAUGGCAUCUUAAGUGUUUCUGAACCUUUAGUUUCACAGUCGCCGCACUUUUAAUACUGCUCUCUUUGUGCCACUUUUAAAAGGAGGGUUAAUGCACUGCGGCAGAAACGGGAUCUCUUCCGUGAAGAGGUGAGUAUACCUAAGAGAAAGCGACAAGGGACAGAGUGAAGUAAACACACACACACACACACACACACACAAAUACUGAGAUACACUCAGUGCUGACAAAGCUGUCUUUGUGGAGUUUGCACAAAUGCUACAGCCACUAAAAGCUCCAUUCCCAAAUGUCUGCAGUGGCAAAACCAUGUGAAGGAAUGCCAAGACAGGUUCACCAACAUGGCUUAGUGGCUAGACAUGGUACUGUUGC
Long non-coding RNA from Cyprinus carpio (common carp), 1586 nucleotides. NCBI's taxonomy places the organism in Eukaryota, Metazoa, Chordata, Actinopteri, Cypriniformes, Cyprinidae. The record is from Ensembl.